This 301-nucleotide ribosomal RNA is filed under the name uncultured bacterium. Its description in RNAcentral is "partial 16S ribosomal RNA". It matches the Rfam family "Bacterial small subunit ribosomal RNA", at positions 509 to 807 of the family's 1533-position model. The record is from RNAcentral.
CAGUCGCCGCGGGAAAACGUAGGGUGCAAGCGUUAUCCGGAAUUAUUGGGCGUAAAGAGCUCGUAGGCGGUUUGUCACGUCUGCUGUGAAAACUGGAGGCUCAACCUCCAGCCUGCAGUGGGUACGGGCAGACUAGAGUGCGGUAGGGGAGAUUGGAAUUCCUGGUGUAGCGGUGGAAUGCGCAGAUAUCAGGAGGAACACCGAUGGCGAAGGCAGAUCUCUGGGCCGUAACUGACGCUGAGGAGCGAAAGGGUGGGGAGCAAACAGGCUUAGAUACCCCUGUAGUCCCUGUCUCUUAUAC